AACGAACGCUGGCGGCAGGCCUAACACAUGCAAGUCGAGCGGACAUUUCGGUGUCAGCGGCGGACGGGUGAGGAAUACAUAGAUACCUGCCUUAAAGUCUGGGAUAGCGACUGGAAACGGUCGGUAAUACUGGAUACGCCCUACGGGGGAAAGAUUUAUCGCUUUAAGAUGGUUUUAUGUCGGAUUAGCUAGUUGGUGAGGUAAGUGCUUACCAAGGCUAUGAUCCGUAGCUGGUCUGAGAGGAUGAUCAGCCACACUGGGACUGAGACACGGCCCAGACUCCUACGGGAGGCAGCAGUGGGGAAUUUUGCGCAAUGGACGAAAGUCUGACGCAGCGACAUCGCGUGAGGGAUUAAGGCCUUCGGGUUGUAAACCUCUUUUUGGGAGCUAUGAAAGCGCCCAGAAUAAGCAACUACUAACUACGUGCCAGCCGCCGCUGUAA
RNAcentral lists this ribosomal RNA (442 nucleotides) under uncultured bacterium. RNAcentral describes it as "partial 16S ribosomal RNA". It matches the Rfam family "Bacterial small subunit ribosomal RNA", at positions 29 to 523 of the family's 1533-position model. The record is from RNAcentral.